UUCCACCUGCAUCUUUGGCGCACGCACAUAACGUCCGCGCAAGGCUCUCGCGGUGCUGUCUUGCGCCCGCUCGAGGUCCACCUUGAUAUUCAUACUCACACAGGGUGAUCACCAGCAGACAGAACAGUGACUGUGCACCUAUCUCGCUCUCUCUUGCACAUUACCGUAACACACACACACACACGAAGACACGUGCGUUAAUAACGGACAAGGAGGCAGUAGAAGAGCAACCACCUUUCAUCACGGAUUCCUUUGAGAGAAUGAACAGCAAGGCUAUUUUGUUCGUGUCGAACAUAUCGUCGAUCGCAAAUGCGCAAUACCUAGAGCGGUUAUUCUCGGCGUACGGAACUGUGCACCACGUGGAGCUGUUCGGCGAGGGCCCACACCGCUACGCAGAGGUGACAUAUGGCACCGUCGAUGACGCCGACGCUGCUGUGGCGGCGCUGCACUGCCACUACCAGACGUGCCGCAACUUGCCGAUGAUUGUCCUCUACUCACAGAAUAGUCCCGCCGUCUCCGUCUACGGCCAUCAAGUCGGGGAGGAGUUCAUGAAGGCAGCAGAGGAGAAGCGGCCACCUCGCCCGCUCAUGUUGGACGAGUUCGAUAGCAAUUACCAACGCCUUGGGGUGCAGCCGCCGCCUUCUGAGAGCGAAAUCAUCCUCGAGCACCACACUCCGGGUUACUAGCGAGGAAAGGGGAGGGGGGCGAAGGGCACCGAAUGAGGGAUGUACGCACGACUUCGAUAGGCGUGAUCCUCUCCUAUGUCCCUCACUCUCUGCCCCUUUUUGCUGCUCUACACUUGCCUCUUUAAGUCCCAACAUGGCGAUCGGUUCUCUUGUGCGACCCGGCUUGAACUUGCGGAAGAGGGUGGCGCUAUGUACUUAGGCGGUUUGGGUGUUAUCGGGUGUGAUCGGUAACUAACAGCACUUUAUCGUUGGCCUUUCUUUUUGCUUCAUCCCAUCUCUUCACUUUUCGUUGUUGUCGCUGUCGUGAAAGGCGAGUUCCUCUUUUGUUUGCACCUCUGUGUAUCUUCGGUACUUCUUUUUGCUCGUCUCCGGACGCAUGCUCGCGUUUGUGGUUGUUGCGCGCGUGCCACGCUUGCGUUCCUGUUGCGCAUAGCACCGUCCUCCCUCCUUGCUUUCUGCCGAGCUGCAAAGGGUGAAGUCCGCCAUUCCUUGGAAUGGAAUUAAUUGCAUUUGUUUUGGCGUGCGUGCGUGGGUGCUGUUGGUCGGCGCCUUGCCCCUCUUUCUUGUCCACGUCCACUCCACACCACAACGAGGCCUCAAACACCUCCCCACUCCCUUUCCCGCAUCUGCUCGAGUGUGCCACUCUCUCGCCGUCAUCACGUCUUCUCUUCUCCGAGCUUCUGUUUGCCAUGUUUGCUCUUUCUGAUCGCAUUUUUUGGGUGUCUCCACAUUUCUCUGUACUGCGUGUUUAUGUGCUUUGCCUUCAUCUCCACUGCGCUCUCUCUUUUGGGCCUCCCCUCCCACUCCUCCAGUUCUGACGAGAACGAAAAUAGAAGUGGUGAGCCCCCCCCCACCCACCCACCUCACUCCCACCCUAAAGCACCCAACCACGCAGAAAGAAACAAAAAGAAAAGAAGCCAGUGCUACUUCCUGUCAUUAGAUGCAUGCAUGUGGGGUCUCGAGAGCGAACGCAUGCCGCUGUGUCAGAGGGAGGGGCGCUUGCCAGCUUCUAUGGGCGGUGUCACCUCUCACGUUCACCGCUGUCCACCGCUUUAGUGCGCCGCGGAUGCGGGGGUCGGAUCGCAGAUUCUUUCGGCAAUGCUCAUAUGUGGAUGACAGAUGUGCAUUUCUGCGUUUCGUGUGCGACUCCUUCACCUACUCGUCAGAUUUUGAGAGCCUCUGUGGCCGCGCCGGUUCUUUGGCGCUUUUGUGUGCGCUUUUCCUUUCUUAUUGUGUGAUGGUGCUUCUCCUAACUGACCACAGACUCUCUCGCUAUCUUUGGCCCUUUUCAG
This 1978-nucleotide unclassified non-coding RNA is filed under the name Leishmania donovani. Its description in RNAcentral is "gene:LdHU3.30.4310(CDS-product:RNA_recognition_mo tif._(a.k.a._RRM_RBD_or_RNP_domain)/RNA_recognition_motif_( a.k.a._RRM_RBD_or_RNP_domain)_putative)". The record is from RNAcentral. Lineage: Eukaryota; Euglenozoa; Kinetoplastea; Trypanosomatida; Trypanosomatidae.